GAUGAACGCUGGCGGCGUGCCUAAUACAUGCAAGUCGAGCGAACGGACGACACGCUUGCUUUUCUGAUGUUAGCGGCAGACGGGUGAGUAACACGUGGAUAACCUACCUAUAAGACUGGGAUAACUUAGGGACACCGGCGCUACUACCGGAGAAUAUUUUGACCCGCAUGGUUCAAGGGUGAAAGACGGUCUUGCUGUCACUUAUAGAUGGAGCCGCGCUGCAUUAGCUAGUUGGUAAGGUAACGGCUUACCAAGGCAACGAUGCAUAGCCGACCUGAGAGGGUGAUCGGCCACACUGGAACUGAGACACGGUCCAGACUCCUACGGUAGGCAGCAGUAGGGAAGCUUCCGCAAUGGGCGAAAGCCUGACGGAGCAACGCCGCGUGAGUGAUGAAGGUCUUCGGAUCGUAAAACUCUGUUAUUAGGGAAGAACAUAUGUGUAAGUAACUGCGCACAUCUUGACGGUACCUAAUCAGAAAGCCACGGCUAACUACGUG
RNAcentral lists this ribosomal RNA (497 nucleotides) under uncultured bacterium. RNAcentral describes it as "partial 16S ribosomal RNA". It matches the Rfam family "Bacterial small subunit ribosomal RNA", at positions 28 to 507 of the family's 1533-position model. The record is from RNAcentral.